RNAcentral lists this non-coding RNA (152 nucleotides) under Streptomycetaceae bacterium MP113-05. Lineage: Bacteria; Bacillati; Actinomycetota; Actinomycetes; Kitasatosporales; Streptomycetaceae. RNAcentral also lists the same sequence under 1 other name. The record is from RNAcentral.
CUCCCGGGUCGUACACUCGGGCACUGUCCGCGAGGACGACAACUGAAUGCGUGCGCGAUCGGGGAAGCCGGUGUGAUUCCGGCGCUGACCUGCAACCGUGAACAGCGGCACAUUCCGCUGUGAGCCGGACCGCCCGUGCGCACGUGUACCGC